This 495-nucleotide ribosomal RNA is filed under the name uncultured bacterium. Its description in RNAcentral is "partial 16S ribosomal RNA". It matches the Rfam family "Bacterial small subunit ribosomal RNA", at positions 28 to 507 of the family's 1533-position model. The record is from RNAcentral.
GAUGAACGCUGGCGGCGUGCCUAAUACAUGCAAGUAGAACGCUGAAGGAGGAGCUUGCUCUUCUGGAUGAGUUGCGAACGGGGGAGUAACGCGUAGGUAACCUGCCUGGUAUCGGGGGAUAACUAUUGGAAACGAUAGCUAAUACCGCAUGACAACAGUUAUUGCAUGAUAACUGUUUAAAAUUGGCAACUGCUCCACUACCAGAUGGACCUGCGUUGUAUUAGCUAGUUGGUGAGGUAACGGCUCACCCAGGCGACGAUACAUAGCCGACCUGAGAGGGUGAUCGGCCAAACUGGGACUGAGACACGGCCCAGACCCCUAAGGGAAGCAGCCGUAGGGAAUCUUCGGAAAUGGACGGAAGUCUGACCGCGCAACGCCGCGUGAGUGAAGAAGGUUUUCGGAUCGUAAAGCUCUGUUGUAAGAGAAGAACGAGUGUGAGAGUGGAAAGUUCACACUGUGACGGUACCUAACCAGAAAGCGACGGCUAACUACGUG